GACGAACCGAGCGAACGUUAUUCGGAAUCACUGGGCGUAAAGGGUGCGUAGGCGGUUCUUUAAGUCAGGGGUGAAAUCCUGGAGCUCAACUCCAGAACUGCCUUUGAUACUGAGGAUCUUGAGUUCGGGAGAGGUGAGUGGAACUGCGAGUGUAGAGGUGAAAUUCGUAGAUAUUCGCAAGAACACCAGUGGCGAAGGCGGCUCACUGGCCCGAUACUGACGCUGAGGCACGAAAGCGUGGGGAGCAAACAGG
Molecule: ribosomal RNA, 253 nt
Filed under: uncultured bacterium
Lineage: Bacteria
Description: partial 16S ribosomal RNA
Rfam family: Bacterial small subunit ribosomal RNA
Source: RNAcentral